Molecule: ribosomal RNA, 407 nt
Filed under: uncultured bacterium
Lineage: Bacteria
Description: partial 16S ribosomal RNA
Rfam family: Bacterial small subunit ribosomal RNA
Source: RNAcentral
GACGAACGCUGGCGGCGUGCCUAAUACAUGCAAGUAGGACGCAGUUGCGAACGGGUGAGUAACGCGUAGGUAUCUAUCUAUUAGAGGGGGAUAACAAUUGGAAACGCUAGCUAAUACCGCAUACUAGUAGAUGGACCUGCGUUGUAUUAAUUAGUAGGUAGGGUAAUGGCCUACCUAGGCAACGAUAAAUAGCCGACCUGAGAGGGUGGACGGCCCAACCGGGACUGAGACAAGGCCCAAACGCCUACGGGGAGCAGCAGUAGGGAAUCUUCGGGAAUGGGGGGAACCCUGACCGAGCAACGGCGCGGGAGUGAAGAAGGUUUUCGGAUCGUAAAGCUCUGUUGUUAAGGAAGCGGUACUUAACCAGAAAGGGACGGCUAACUACGUGCCAGCAGCCGCGGUAAUAC